CGAUUAUUAUUUUUAUUUGUUAGGAUUUCGGUGAUUGAACAACAAUAUUAUGGAAUUAUUAUUUUAUGUUAUGCGGGAUUUAGAAGUACUGUUUGUUGUUCACCGAUUUAGAAGUGCAGGACAUGAGAGGGAGAUAAAACGAAUGUGCAGGACAAAUAACAUGAGCCCUUGGAUGUGUAAGAAAUGGAUGACUAUGAUUAAGUCUCUCCAUCCUCCACAAAAUUCAGUCUCCAUAGAACUUUUCUC
RNAcentral lists this long non-coding RNA (246 nucleotides) under Daucus carota (carrot). RNAcentral describes it as "long non-coding RNA (DCAR_LNC000315)". The record is from RNAcentral. Lineage: Eukaryota; Viridiplantae; Streptophyta; Magnoliopsida; Apiales; Apiaceae.